Molecule: long non-coding RNA, 4504 nt
Filed under: Mytilus galloprovincialis (Mediterranean mussel)
Lineage: Eukaryota; Metazoa; Mollusca; Bivalvia; Mytilida; Mytilidae
Source: RNAcentral
GAGUUGGCGUAACCUAUAUCAGAUGGGGAAGAAAAGGUUGUUCUGGUGGUGCUGAACUUGUUUAUACAGGUAAUUUAUUUUCAAACUGAAAAUUCUUGUGGGUAAUACUAUUGAUUUUGGACAGUAAAUACCUGUAAUCAUUGCUUUCAAUCAUCUUACUGUCUUCUACAAAGACGUUUACAAUUAUUUCUUAAAUGUUCAGAGAGGGUUGUUUUUCCUUUUGUCUAAAGUAUUAUUAUUAAUCAACAAUAACACUCGAAUGAUUUGAACAUAUACUGUUUCUGUUUUAACAAAGGUAAGAACAGUGUAACAUAUUGUCUUAUAUUAACAAAUAAUACGCUAGGAGGGAUAUGUUUUAGUUGACCACUGUUAGACCGCCUGUUCUUUCGUGUCUUGAAAUUUACGUCUUAAAAGCUAUAAAUCCAAGCGUCUUAAGAUUUCGAAAAGAAAUUCCUGCUAAAAUGCUUUAUCUUUUGAUAUAUUUUAUCAUUAUUAUCAACUGAUCAUUUAUGGAUUACAAAAACAUUGUCUUAAAUAAUUCCCAUUGGUACCAUUUUUAUCAGGAAGAGCAAAAAGUGAAAUCACAAAAAUACAAUUCCUAGUCAAAUUGCAAAACAAGUUGCUUUCUUUAAAAAAAAAUAAAAGCAAUACAUGAACCUAAGACCGCUGACUGCCGGGUCACCAAAAGAUUGUUGCUGAAUUUUGUUUGCUUUUGAAUUGAAAUAAUUGACUGUGAAUAGAAGAAGCCAGUUAAAAGUAUAUUUUUACAGCUUCUAUUUGAAUAUUUAUUUUAAAGCUCGACUAUUUUAUUUAUCACUUGGGAAUGUACAUAAUUUUUCCGAUUAUAACCCUUUGGUAAAUCCUAAUUUCUACUAACCGUAUGACUUAUGCAAAUUGCACAUACCUAUCGCAGAAGUUUAUAAAUAUAUGUACACACUUUAAAAAUCAUAUGAAAUAAACAUUAAAGGAAAAACAUUUAGAAGAAAUAGGAGACUUUUGCUUAAACGAGCGAAAACAACAAAACAGUUGAAAUGGUUAAAAUGUCGCUUUUUUAUUCGCUUGAUAGUUUUUUUUUUAACGACCCUUGAUAUAAAUUUUUAGGUCUUUCCACCUUUCCGUGUGAAAAGACCUAUUGAAUUUCUUCUGAUUAUUUUUUUUUUUUUUUCUUCCGCCUAAUUUUUUUCUUGGGGUGUAAAUAUGUUUCAAAAGAUGUCGCUUAGUUUUUUUGUAUAUGAUAUUAUACAGUUAUACUCUUUUGAAACUCACCCUGUUUAACCGAACACUUUUCUUUGUAAGAGUUAUCUCCCCAAACACUGUUUUUCUUGUUAUCAGAUCUCCUCCGCAACCGUAAAAGAAGCCGACCAAUUUAUUUUUCCAAAUUGUUGUUAUAUCCUCAGAAUGUUAAGUUUUAUUUUGACCGAAGCUAUACGAAGACCCCAUAUGAGAGUAAUUUUCGCUUUUGUAUUGAAAUAAGUGAAAAAAAAUUGUAACUGGAAAACCAUAAGUGAUAGAGGCCUAGGGUCUUUUGAUUUCAGGUCCUUGGUUCAAAAAUGAAAAUUAGGUCAAGUCAAAUCAAUGUCAAAAUUUUUGAUUUUGGCUUGUUAUUUCUCAUUUUUAGAAAUCUUAUGAGAUAUUGACAAAAUAUUUUCACACAACUGUUAGUCGUGACAUGUCGCUACACAUAAAUUUUAUUCGAAAAGAUACGUAAACAUUUGAUGCGACUUUUCCCCCUUUUAUAUCUAAUAUAAGUUGUAUGGUAAUAAACUCUAACAAUGAAAGUGAGAUAGAGUCUUUUGGUUUGAGGUUUUGUUUAUGACCUUGAAUUGAGCUCAAGGUCAUCUGUUAAUUUUAACGUUCUAGAUUUGACCUUUGCAUUUACCUCAUAGGUAUUCAUAUUAAAUCUAUUAGACUUUUUGUAUUAGGUUGGAAGCAAUAUGACGUUGAACCGGAAGUAGCUAAUUUGUGUAAUAAAUUAUUGUAAAAGUAUGUAAAACCAUAUAUUUUUGGAAUCAGCGUCAAGUUUACUAUAAGGAAGUACACCACUAAUUCAUGGUCCCAUUACUUUCUAUGUUAAAUUCCUCCAUUUCAAACCAGGCACACCUCUUUCAUUUUAAGUUCAAAAAAGUGGCAAAUUGCACGUCAAAGCAACACUUGUAUGGCGUCUUUACUGAAAAAAUCAACAUACCUUACAUGGCAUAUAAAAAGAACUGGUUCAGAAUUCGAUGUACAAAACAUACUUAUCUGACAAACAGACCAAAUGUACCUCUUUUCAAUUUUGCUGCAGUUUUUUAAAUAUUUAAAUUAAAAGUCCAAGUGUUCUACAAUGAUCACCAGUCCUUCAGCUUUCAUUUGAUGUCAAAACUACCUAAAUAUCUACAUAUUUUGAAAUUACACUCAUGCGUAGGAACUUAUGCGUUAAAUAUGUAUACUUCUGGUAUGUGCUUUCUGGCCGGGCCCGAAUUAGUGGUGUUACACCAUAAGACAGUACCGGAAGUAACAUAUUUUGAACCAAAAGUAGAAAAUUAUCUCCCUUAUUUAUAUCUUUUUGUAUUGAAACCUUAUAUUUUUGGAAUCAGCGUACAAUAAGUUGUCAUUUGACGCUGAAAUUAAUAUUUUAAAACCAAAUUUUAAUAUUUUCAUAUCAAAAUAGAUCCUUACUGGUGGAAAGACCUUCAAUUGUUCUCUGAACAAUUGGUUUUUAAUUUCCCAUUUUUAUUUGCACUAUUAUUCUUUAUUAUAUUGAUAUACAUGUAUAAUACAUUAAUUGGACGGCACAGAUUAUGUGGGUACAUUCACUAAUGGUCUUAACGUGUCGUUACGUUAAUCAACGGUUUUCGUGUGAUAAAGUCAAAUGAGAUAUGAACUUUUAUUAUUAUAGAAAAAGAUACAUCUUUAACGACUUGCCAGAUUCUUUUGAAUAUUAAAAUUUAUACAUUUUACAAUAAUCAUGCAAAUUAUUUCUAUACAAAUAGACUGAUUUGUUUUAUAACUUAAUGAGACAGAGAAAGAACACAACGCAAUGAUAACAAAAAGAAACAACUAAGUUAAAUAUAUAAUAUGCAUGUGUUUAUAUUAAUGAAUUGAUUGUAUGAUCAAGUUAAAUGUUAGCCUUUACCACCAUGAAAAGCUUGAAUGCAUUAUUCUAGGGCAAGUCGGCGGAAGUGAUUAUUAUACUAGAGGAGGUGGUGUGAAUUAUUUAUGUCUCCCAAAUGAUCCAGAGAAUGGACAACACCAAUCAUAUAACAAUAUCCAGGUAUAUGGUAGUGAAUAUCGACUUAGUUCAUCAGCCAAGCCGUCGGGAUGGUAUGAAUCUAUGAACAACAUGGAAGUGCCAUGUUCUGUUUGUUUCAAAAAACGCAAAUCAACGGUUUUGAUGAUUCCAGGUACUUAUUCCAUUUAAUGCCGUACCAUGACCUUAAAUGGUUUACUGUUAUAAAUUGUUACUUGGAUGGAGAGUUGUCUCAUUGGCACUCAUAACAAUGAGAAGACGAGGUAUGUUACCAUACUACAACUUUCCACCACAAACCAAAGAAGUUUAUUUAUAAAACAUCAUGAAGAAAGUUUUCGAAACCUGGUCUUACAGUCAUAAACAUUCCGAGCACGAUUAUUGUGAUCAGACUUAUCCAGUAAAAAAACUAGGGUUUUGAGUACAAAUUUUGUUGUCCGUGUAUAAAUCAAAGUCUAUUGACCGAGAACUCUGUUAAGCAAGCGGUCAAAGUAAACGUUAAUUGCAUUAUUAUUUGUUCGCAGAAGAAGAUAAUGCAUAAGGGUAUUCUAUUAUAAGACUUAUUUAUUUUAAAGCUCAAUGAUCCACCUUAUAAUUGCUAUAUUUUCGUUAUAAACAACUGUAGAAUUUAUGUUUGUAAAAGCGUUGAUCGUGGCCAUAAUUUUAACAUGAAGCGCUUCUGUGCUUCAUACAACAUGUGCAUUGUGCAACCAUUUUACACCCAAUAAAAUUAUAAAAUGCAGCGUUAAAUUCAUAAACAAAAGAAUGAAAAGUCAUUGAGGAAAGACAAUAAGUCUCCCAUGCAAUUGUACUGAAAGACAUUUCAUGAUAACUUAUACACAUGUCCCAAUUUAUUUUUACGCUUUUCAAUGAAUUUUGUACGGUAGAAAUGUGAAAUACAGAUUCAAAACAUUACAAAUGUAUUUUCGAAUAGAUGGAUUAUAAUCAGCAUCCUACUUUUAAAAUAUUUAAGGUCGGAAGACUUGCUACAAAGGAUGGAACUCAGAAUAUAAUGGUUAUCUGAUGAGUGAUCAUUCAACUCAUUAUAGAAGGGACUACGCCUGUGUUGACAAAAAAGCAAGUCCAUUGGACUAUAAGAAAGUAAAUGAACAUGGCGCUUAUUUUUAUCCACUCCGAACCCAAUGUGGUAGUUUGAGAUGUCCUCCAUAUACCAAUGCAGCGGAUGUGUUAUGCGUCGUUUGUUCAAAAUAAAAACAUUAUGAGUUACAUUGAUAACACGACCAUUUAUUUGUGUUUAUCUAUAAAUUGAUUAAACGA